Molecule: ribozyme, 66 nt
Filed under: unclassified sequences
Description: pistol ribozyme
Rfam family: Pistol ribozyme
Source: RNAcentral
AGCCGUUCGGGCGGCUCAAAACAGACCUUAGGCCCGAAGCGUGGCGGCAACCUGCCACCGGUGGUG